GGAUGCUAAGGGAGGAGAAGGGCAGAAGAGGAAGGAGAAGGCUGUGAAUUUUUUCGAAGCUGGUCACGCAGCAUCAGCUGCAACCUGCUGGACAGAUCAUUCUGGCUAGACUAAAUCACAGCCAGCCAAAGAAUUUCGAGAUUGCUCGUGAGGAGCCAAAUAGAUCAUGGUUUGCGCAAGUUUAAAAAUACACCUCGAGCACCCUAAGAAUAGAAACGCGGGGUAUAAACCGAAUAAAGAAGGAAGGAAGCCACAGCUGAGGUGGAUGAAGAAAUGAUAUGUGGAUUGAUGAGGGCAGCCCGGCGACUUUUGUCAAGGGGACUUCCUGCAAAUCCGUGCCGACACUCCGUGAAAGUUCUGCAGGUCAUUGUUUCAUUCUGGCAAGAUUCCGUCUGUAGGCGAACGACCAUAAAGACACUCGUCAGAAGUAACUCCACACAUUAUGGGGGAAAUGGACAUAAGAAUUAAAAGUUAGCUUUCUUUACAUGCUUGGAAAAAAAGUCAGAAGUCAUUCUUUGCAUCUAUUUGUGUUUUCAAUAGAGGAGAAUUUUUGUAGCCUAAGGAUGAAAUGAGGGCUCCUUGGUGCUCUCUGAGCUUGGCUGUUUUUUUGCAGAGACGUUUCAUCACCCAACUAGGUAACAUCAUCAGUGACAAAAGGGAAUGGGCUUUGCCCUCUCCCUUCUAGCGCUAUUGAUGUUACUGUCAGCGUUCCAAAUUAGGCUCUCUUCCAGCGCUGACAUGAACGAAAUGAAGCAGAGAGCAGAAGCGUUGAUUUAUUGCUGAGAUGAACUUUUACCUAGUUUUCUGCAUGCAACAGAUAGUGUUACCUGGGUGAUGGAGGGUGGGGGCCACAUUCCUGUGAAAAGAGCGUGCUGGGACGUAGAGAUGGCUCUGCAUGAUGGACAAUGGGACAUUGGGGUUGGAGAGCGGAAGAGGAGGGGGUUGGAAGGAGGGGCCAGUUUGGCUGCAACUUGAAUCAGGAAUGUCGGAUUUUUUUCUAUUCUUAAAUAAAAGUGAUUCAUUAGAGACUUUGCGUUUGAGAAUGAAGUUUAUUUAAGAUAGCACCGAAGCCUGACAGUUACCUAGUUUGGGGAAUGAGACGUCAGAAAAAGAGAGCAGCCAAACAGAGAGCAUCAAGGACUUCUCUUUUCUCUUUUCCUUUCUUUACAUUUUUUUUUUUCACACUUCUAUUCUCUUCUUCUCCCUAUUCUCUUUUUUUCCUAUUCAUUGCUUCUUUGGAUUGUGAGUUUAUGCCGGUUUCUUUGACGUGCCGUGCUUUGCAAAAUGUAAUAAAUAUUAUUGGAAAGAA
Molecule: non-coding RNA, 1309 nt
Organism: Pantherophis guttatus
Lineage: Eukaryota; Metazoa; Chordata; Lepidosauria; Squamata; Colubridae
Source: RefSeq, a predicted model, not a curated record